RNAcentral lists this ribosomal RNA (440 nucleotides) under uncultured bacterium. RNAcentral describes it as "partial 16S ribosomal RNA". It matches the Rfam family "Bacterial small subunit ribosomal RNA", at positions 338 to 795 of the family's 1533-position model. The record is from RNAcentral.
CCUACGGGCGGCAGCAGUGGGGAAUAUUGCACAAUGGGGGGAACCCUGAUGCAGCGACGCCGCGUGAGUGAAGAAGUAUUUCGGUUUGUAAAGUUCUAUCAGCAGGGAAGAAAAUGACGGUACCUGACUAAGAAGCCCCGGCUAACUACGUGCCAGCAGCCGCGGUAAUACGUAGGGGGCAAGCGUUAUCCGGAUUUACUGGGUGUAAAGGGCGCGUAGACGGCAGAGCAAGUCUGAAGUGAAAGCCCGUGGCCAAACCGCGGGACUGCUUUGGAAACUGCCCGGCUAGAGUGCUGGAGAGGUAAGCGGAAUUCCUAGUGUAGCGGUGAAAUGCGUAGAUAUUAGGAGGAACACCAGUGGCGAAGGCGGCUUACUGGACAGUAACUGACGUUGAGGCUCGAAAGCGUGGGGAGCAAACAGGAUUAGAUACCCUGGUAGUC